Saccostrea cuccullata (small rock oyster) is the source of this 426-nucleotide long non-coding RNA. RefSeq lists it as uncharacterized. The transcript has 3 exons. NCBI's taxonomy places the organism in Eukaryota, Metazoa, Mollusca, Bivalvia, Ostreida, Ostreidae. The record is from RefSeq and is a predicted model, not a curated record.
AUCGAUUCAGGAAAUACAGCUUAGAAGUAUCAAAUUCCUCUGAUGCAGAACAAUGGGAAGAAUGCUACAAAGCUAACACAUCGGAUUCCAGUAUACCUUUAAGUAUACUGAAUAUUUCAUGUAAAAGAACAGCCAGAUACCUCAGAAUUAUAACAAACUAUGACGCUCCUGAAGACGAUGCAUUCUCUGAAAAGGCUCCUAUACCUAAAGUUUGUGAAAUUCAAAUUUAUGGUUCUGAUAUAGGUUGUUACGGUCCAAACCGUUCACGCUGUGAAGAUUGUGAGCAUUGCGAUACUGAAACUGGCUGCCGAAACAAUGAGGCGUCAGAGAAAAAUGAAAUAACAAAAGUUCACUCUGUUCUGUACGGCGUGGUUACAUUUCUCAUUUUAAGUAUAUUUGUGAACACAUUUUUCAUUGCGUGGUAAG